Patella vulgata (common limpet) is the source of this 1903-nucleotide long non-coding RNA. RefSeq lists it as uncharacterized. Lineage: Eukaryota; Metazoa; Mollusca; Gastropoda; Patellidae. The transcript has 2 exons. The record is from RefSeq and is a predicted model, not a curated record.
AUUUCUGACUGAGAUAAACAAAGUCUUCACAGAUUCUUUAAGUUCAGAUUUCUCUUACUAAAAAUAGACUAUAUAGGUACCAACCAACCAUCUUACCUUGGCCCGUAGCCACCUGUCGACACAGUGAUAAGAUGUAGGCAGCAGCAGAACUUUGUACCAACUUUAUUCUACCCUUAAUAAACAAGUGAAUAGAACCAUCAAGAUAAUGGUGAGCCACCAGAAGCAGUCCUGGCAGACUAAGAUUGAUAACCAGGACAAGGAGGAACCCCAGUCUCAAAUCAAACAUGGCGUGAGGAAUGCGGCCAAUGAUAAAAUGAUCAAAGGUUAUUUUGAGAAUCAAAGAAGUCUCUGGUUAGAUAAAAUUAACAACCCUGAUCAGGGUGAAGUCAAGAAACCCUAUCGACCCGAUCUUAUCCACUGUGAUGAAAUUAAGCAGGAAUUUAAAGGGAACAUUUCUAUAUGGAAACAAAAGGAAACAGACCAUCGAGAGAAGCAACUAAUGAAUCCAUUUUCAGAAUGGGAAGGUGCUUCUCACAGACCCAAAAUGGAUAUAAACGAUCCAGAAUACGGCAAACCUGUUCCUGGUUCCUUAACAGAAAUCAGAGGGAAGCAAGCGAAUAAUCAUGUUUUUGGUGAAAUUCGUGAACUCUGCCACGCCAUCGAUGCACUUGGUGAGAAGGGGGAGGACGAUAAAAUGAGAAUACCGUUUGGUAGAUUAUUCCAAGCCUACGAAAAGGUGUCCAAUAAACUGGUUGGUAUCUUGAUGAGAGCUAGGAAAAGGGACUGUGUGACUUUUGAGGGGGAGAUGCUUUAUCAGGGUCGCGAUGAAGGUGUUAUGAUUACCCUGCUUGAGAUUCCAGAGGAUACCAGGGAGAAACUCAUUGUUCCCAAAUUUUUAUCCGGUGGAUUUGAAUAACAACGUUUUGUGUGUUAAUUUCACUUCUAAAAUGUUAGUAGAAAGUCUGUGUCCAAACCACAACCACACACUAACUGCGUUAAUUUACUAUACAGAACUGAAAAAUAUUUUUUGAAAAAGUAGCGAUAUAUCAAAAUUGAACAUCAUGAAACUGCGUCAACUGUAGCCCAUCCAGUGCGUUAUUUUUUAUAGAGACUGUGAUUUGUGCCAUAACUAAGCUUCGUUUGUCGUAAAAUAAAAACUACAUUUGUACUACAUAAGUGUUCAAAUCAGUCAAGGCAUCAUACGUUUUUAUACCAUAAUAUUGUAAAGAUUUGUUCUCCAUAUAAACACAGUAAAGCCAAUAGUAUCUAAUACACGGCGAGGGAGGGGAGGGGAGGGGGGGUUAGUGUGUGCGCGCUGUAUCUUAAGGUCUCUCAUUGAGUCAAUUGGUGGGGUUUCGAUUCCCCCGUUGUCGCCUGUCCAACCUCGUGGGUUUUCUCCAGGUCCUCCGUUUUCCUCCUACUGCUAAAGACCCCUACGCGCAUUUUAGACCUCUCUGUUAGUACCGAAAUGUGUCGAGUGGAUGUUAAACUCCAUUUCUCGCUCUCUGUAAUACACGGUGAUUUGUGUCGUUAAAAACCUGCAUUAAUUUAACUAAUGUACUACAGAAAUGGUCAAAAUAUCAUACACUUUGUUCUGUAAAGACUUUUCGAUGUUAGUUAGGUUUAGGUUAAUUGUUAUAAACUAGCAUUUUUUAAUUUUAUAGAAUAGGCAUACAUGCAGAGGCGUAGCCGUGAAAUAUAUAUUGGGGGGGGGGGGCGCAACCCUAACCCCUAACCCUAACCCUAACCUAUUUUUUAAAAUCAUUCAAAAAUAAAAACAAAAACCAUGUGGCCAUGCUGUCUAUAAACCAUAUUGGGAUAUGUACAGGUUUUAUACAGAUAGAAUCUUAACUAAUCCUAAUAAUUGUUGUAAAUAAAUAGGAGUUUGGGCCUACUAUGUAAA